RNAcentral lists this microRNA (18 nucleotides) under Corchorus capsularis. RNAcentral's name for it is "sRNA CCACVL1_08750". The record is from RNAcentral. Lineage: Eukaryota; Viridiplantae; Streptophyta; Magnoliopsida; Malvales; Malvaceae.
GCAACGACAACCAACAAA